Rhagoletis zephyria (snowberry fruit fly) is the source of this 720-nucleotide long non-coding RNA. RefSeq lists it as uncharacterized. Lineage: Eukaryota; Metazoa; Arthropoda; Insecta; Diptera; Tephritidae. The record is from RefSeq and is a predicted model, not a curated record.
UUUACAUUUCGAAGGGGAAAUAAUGCCCACUAAUACAAGGCAAUAAAGCCGGUGAUUAGUAUUUUAUCUGGCUUUAUUUUGCUGAAACAUUCCAAUUAUGCAUGCAGGCAUACAUUUGCAAAAAAUUUAAUGUAUUUGAAACGAAUUACUAUUUAUUUGUGCAUACAGUGCAGUUCUGCGUUGAAUUCCAUUUUGCAGUAUACGCAUAAAAACGAACGGUAUUUUUGCAAAUAACUGAUAAGCGAAUUAUUGGAAAUUAAAGGAAAAUUGUUAUUGUUUUUGUUAGCCUUCAAUGCGAUGCGCAUAUUUGUUCUCAGCUUCUUAGGUUGAGCGCCCACAGGCUCGCCCAUAGGCGUUGUUUCCGCGGGCGUUAUUGCACUCCAGCCUAAAAUGCAGUAAACCAAACUUUACAGAUGACUAAUUGUUUCUGAAAUGGAAUGAAAAUUCGGGGCGAUUUGUUAAAAUACCGCUUAUACUGGCGAUAUUUUUUGUUACGGGUAACUGACUAACAUUAUUUAACAGAAAAUAAUUCACACUUGAAGCGGUCGGUUUGGCUGGCCGCUACUAGGUAACCCCAAAUUUCCAUACACGUUAAGCCCUCGCGGGAGAUCUGUUAGGAGAUAUCGCCUGCGAUUUGCGAUAAGCGAUCACCACGAGUGAUUCAUCUUCGAAAAUGUAUCGCUGAAUGCUAUGGAGAAGCGAGGAAAGGUAAGUGGCAUA